RNAcentral lists this ribosomal RNA (426 nucleotides) under uncultured bacterium. RNAcentral's name for it is "bacterial SSU rRNA". It matches the Rfam family "Bacterial small subunit ribosomal RNA", at positions 359 to 776 of the family's 1533-position model. The record is from RNAcentral.
GAAUAUUGCGCAAUGGUCGAAAGACUGACGCAGCGACGCCGCGUGUGGGAGGAAGCCCUUCGGGGUGUAAACCACUGUCGGGAGGGACGAACCCCGGACGGGCAAAUAGCCCGGACGGCUGACGGUACCUCCAAAGGAAGCACCGGCUAACUCCGUCCCCGCCGCCGCGGUAAGACGGAGGGUGCAAGCGUUGUUCGGAAUUACUGGGCGUAAAGCGCGGGCAGGUGGUCUGUUAAGUCCUUUGUGAAAUCCCGGGGCUCAACUCCGGAUGUGCGUGGGAUACUGGAAGACUUGAGACUGGUAGAGGCGAGCGGAAUUCCUGGUGUAGCGGUGGAAUGCGUAGAUAUCAGGAAGAACACCGGUGGCGAAGGCGGCUCGCUGGGCCAGUUCUGACACUUAUCCGCGAAAGCGUGGGGAGCAAACAGG